AUCGUAAGCCAAUGAGCAUUUGUACUAAAAUUGUAAUGAUAGAAUAUUAACGUAGUCCCUGAACAAAGAUGACAUGAAAAUUUGUGAAGCUUUCCGUAUUUCU
Molecule: small nuclear RNA, 103 nt
Filed under: Aotus nancymaae (Ma's night monkey)
Lineage: Eukaryota; Metazoa; Chordata; Mammalia; Primates; Aotidae
Source: RNAcentral